CUGGCGGGCAGGACUAACACAUGCAAGUCGAGCGGAUGAAGGGAGCUUGCUCCCUGAUUUAGCGGCGGACGGGUGAGUAAUGCCUAGGAAUCUGCCUGGUAGUGGGGGAUAACGUUCCGAAAGGAACGCUAAUACCGCGUACGUCCUACGGGAGAAAGCAGGGGACCUUCGGGCCUUGCGCUAUCAGAUGAGCCUAGGUCGGAUUAGCUAGUUGGUGAGGUAAUGGCUCACCAAGGCGACGAUCCGUAACUGGUCUGAGAGGAUGAUCAGUCACACUGGAACUGAGACACGGUCCAGACUCCUACGGGAGGCAGCAGUGGGGAAUAUUGGACAAUGGGCGAAAGCCUGAUCCAGCCAUGCCGAGUGUGUG
RNAcentral lists this ribosomal RNA (370 nucleotides) under Ectopseudomonas mendocina. RNAcentral's name for it is "bacterial SSU rRNA". It matches the Rfam family "Bacterial small subunit ribosomal RNA", at positions 36 to 407 of the family's 1533-position model. Lineage: Bacteria; Pseudomonadati; Pseudomonadota; Gammaproteobacteria; Pseudomonadales; Pseudomonadaceae. The record is from RNAcentral.